CACGUAGGGCGCAAGCGUUGUCCGGAAUUAUUGGGCGUAAAGAGCUCGUAGGUGGUUUGUUACGUCUGCUGUGAAAACCUAGGGCUUAACCCUGGGCUUGCAGUGGAUACGGGCAGACUAGAGGUAGGUAGGGGAGAAUGGAAUUCCUGGUGUAGCGGUGAAAUGCGCAGAUAUCAGGAGGAACACCGGUGGCGAAGGCGGUUCUCUGGGCCUUACCUGACACUGAGGAGCGAAAGGCGUGGGG
RNAcentral lists this ribosomal RNA (244 nucleotides) under uncultured bacterium. RNAcentral's name for it is "partial 16S ribosomal RNA". It matches the Rfam family "Bacterial small subunit ribosomal RNA", at positions 524 to 766 of the family's 1533-position model. The record is from RNAcentral.